UUGCAGAAGUGACCUGCUGCAAUCCUGGGAACUCAACAACUGUAUGUCAGCGUUACGUAAGAAAGCAUACUGUUCGAACCUUCUGCAAUUUCAGCAUCAAAGAGAUUCAGCAUUUUUCACACAGUUUCAAAUGAGGAACUUCCCUAAAAAUAUUGUGCAUUGUAAUACGGAACAAUGAGACUCUUUCGCAAUGAAUCACAUACAUUUGUGGACUGGUUCCUCUGACGCAGGCAGAAUUGGGAGUCAAGCUGAGUAUCAUGGAUUGUGGCGUCAGACAUCAAAGAUCAGAUUUCACAAAUCUCGACUUUUGGAGACAAACAAAAAUGACAGUAAAGAAUUUCUGACGCCUAUUAGAAGUUGUGUGUGUCGUUUUAAGUGUUGCUAAGGAAAGCCAAGUAGGCAGUCUAGUUCACUAUCAAGUUAACAAGCCAGUAGUUAAAAGUUCAAUCAAUAUUGUUUGAGGUAGUUAGCAAAAAUACAGGCAGGUAAGUAAGCUAGCUAAAAUAGGGUGACCAUAUUAUGAAUCCCCGAAAAGAGGACACGACUAGUCAUGGAGUUGCACUUAGCAAAUUUUGAGAGUUUGUUGAGUUGAGUGUCUUUUAUAUGCUUCUAACUCAGUAAAUCCAUGCAACACAAACUCAAAUCUUCGGUACAAAAUCUGGGACAUUUGAAAGAUUUUAUAAACUCCCCCCGACAAGGCUGAACAGGCCCCAAAAAGAGGACAUGUCAGGGUAAAAGAGGAUGUAUGGUCACCCUAGCUAAAAGUUUUACUAGACAAUAUCAAGUUUUGCAAAUUGACAAUAUAUCAAUGGUGAAAGUAUUAAGGAAAAUGUGGUCAAGUUUUAAGAUACAAAACACCACUAAAGACGUUUGACAAAGUUAGCUGAAAGUAACUUAUAAUGUUUACAAAGCUAGCUCAAAACGUGCUUUUAAAGCUAGCUAAAAGUAGCAGACAGUCUUGACAUCAUAGGGUCAUGAUUCCUCAAUGAUUUGAGUAGUUAGCAAAAUAUCACUCAGGGUCCUUUUUUUAUGCAGAAAUUGAAACAAUUUGAAAACAGUAAAGUAUUGUUGCGUUUCAGCCAAUCGUCUACAUGAGGUCAGGAAUUUGGGCGACUCAAAACUCAAACUUUUGACACCGGGCUGCAGCUUGUACUCCUUCGUAAACACUACCAUAGUUUAUACUCACUGCUCUUUAAUAGGUAGGUGCAUCUUUGGUGAUGUUUAAUUACACUGCCAGCAACAGGCCUAGCACUUUGGAUGUUAUGAACAUGCUAAAUACUUGUCAGCUGUGCUAACUCGUCAACAUGACGUAAUAUUAAGACAGAUAGCACUAUGGGAACACUUGAUUGCUCUGCUGUUGCGACAAACUGCGUAUGUUAAUGUCCUUCCAGCAAUGUCAGAUUCAAAUGACCGACUAAGACAAUCACUGCUUGAACCUCCUGUUGCUAAACAGUUGCAUAAGAUCAUUAUCGAAAAGCCUCAAGUGUAAACAGCCAGCAUUUGUUGGUACACAAUACAACUCAUUGCCAACCGGGUGGCACAUUUGGCUCCGUGGGUGCUUUGGACCAGUGACAUAAGCCAGCUCAUUGUUGAAUCUCCAAAACCUCUGAGUGCUCUUCACCCUCAUCUGUAAUUAUAGUCUAGGUUAGAGGAAAGGCUUGGCAGCACCGCUGACAGGAAAGUGUAGAAAGCUCUCUAUUAUCGCUUUUCAGGUGCAAAUGCCCGACAUCCUGAGGAGUCAAAUCAAAGCAAAAUUAAACUCUGAAACUGAACUUUAUUAUUUAAGUUUUCAAAGGAAUGGGGGACCUUAUCUGGACACAAAGAAAUUAAAGCAAAAAGGUUGAAAAUGUUGGUAUAUUGUAUACAAUUUACAGCCAAAUCAUCUCUAGCCCUCAUGUCAUGUAAUCCAUGGAUUUGGCCUCCUAGUGCACUUUGCAACUGGAAUUCCUUACACACACACACGGACACAUACAAAAACAAUAGCUUGAGGCUACUCCGAUUCAAUAAACUCUCGGUGCCCUGAAGAAAUGUUCGUCUGGGUCGUGAACAGAGGCAGAUUCAGUUCAUUCCGAUGUUUUUCCUCUCACUGAGCACACAGACGGUCCUGUGCAAACAUUUAUUAGUGCCCACAUUUACUCUACAUGCCUUGACUCACAGUCUAGACCAUCCGAUGAUCCUUUCAGGGCAGGUGGAGCUUUUCCAGUACGUCUCUUCAUAUGAUUUCGCAACACGUCCAUGCCAAAUACAAUCCAACGAAAACCUUGUGUAAGGUGUGGCAUUUGAGAAUUUUCAGUCUGAUUGUAAGGUUAAAGGUUAUAUAUUCGGUGGUAUUUAAAUGUUUGCCAUUGGACCACAGGUUGUGAUAUGAACUAUACAAACAUUCCCUGAGGCAGAAAUAUUCUCGGAGGUUGGGUAACAUCCAUCUGAACUUUUGGACCAAGAGAUGCAGCAGCAGAAGCAUCUUGGAGGCUGAUUGGCCACUUUAAACUUGGUAAAGUCUAACAUCAGCACAUCAGGUGUAUAUAAAGUAUAUGAGUGGUACGGCAGCACUUGGGACCACAAUUAUAGAGUUGCCCAAUUUGUGUUCUUUGUUGUUUCCCAUGGCAACAGAAAGAGGAAGCAGUCAUCACCUUGAAUCAUCAGUAAAAUUUGUCAUGUCAUUCGCCGUUCCUCAUCCUGCCAGAAUAUAUUGAAUUUCUGCAGAAAGCAGAACUUCUGUGCCCUUCUGGUUUAUAUAAUUGAUUUAGGGUCUAAAAUAGGACCAGAACUGACAAGAAGAAGCAUUGUGCUGCUGUUUCUGCUGACCUGUUAGGCUUUUGAUACUUUUGGAUCGCUCUUCUCAUUAAGAAUCUUAAUAAUGUUGGUCUUGACUUCAUCUCUUGGAAAUGGUUUCAAAGUUAUCGCUGUGGGAGGUUUCACGGUUUAAAAGUGGGAAAUAUUCAAUCAAAGAUUCUACCAUUAAUGAAAGUUGUUCCACAAGGAUGAGUCCUGGGUCCUGUUUUAUUUUCUAUCUUUAUCAAUAAAACUGUCUCCUAUAUGACAGACUGUAAUAUCCAUCUUUAGGCAGAUGACACUGUUCUGUCUUCUUGUGCUGACUCUGCACAGGUCAUUUUUGAGAAGAUAGUUUUGUUUUAAUGCUCCAUAUAAAGCACUUGUAACUGUCUCCAAACCCUAAGCGUGGGUAAAAACAUUCGCACGAAUGAAUUACAUGUUAAGUCAAUGCAAAGAUGCUCCUACUACUCUGGCGGUGCGAAUGACGCGAAUUGGGCAGGAGCUGAAAAUGUCUCAAUUUGAGUGGUUAUUCACGUCGCGAUAACCAUCAGGACAAAGGUUGUUGACAUUGUAAAAAAAAACUUUGUCUAUCACUUGAUCCCACUGGUUGAAUUGGCAGGGAUUACCAUUGACACGCGAAUGAAGCGAGUAAAUACUAUUCAUUUGCGCGAAUUAAGCGAGUAGAUUUUGCUCGCGCUUGGUGUGAGCGCCCCACUAGUCUUGAACUCGUACUGAAUGCAGGCAAAACUAACUGAAUGUUUUUCUGCAGGGCAAGAGAUAUUUUAGCUGUCUGCAAGUAUUCACUCUGAAUAAAAGAGUCCAAGCAUAUAAAUAAAUAUCUUUGUUUACAGCUUGAUGAAUUAUUUGCAUUUAAAACCCACAUUGAAAACCUCAUUGACAAACUUUGGCUCAGAUUUUUUAUUUUUUUCAUCUUACAUGUUGAAAAUGUUUUGUUGAAGUGGUCUUUCUUUCAUAUCUAUGUGAUGACAGUAUGCAUAGACAUGCUGCAGCCUCCACCCUCUAAUCCCUGGACUCAGUUUCUCUCUCUGCUCUUAGAUUCAUAACUACAUAAAGACUCCUAUGAGACUCAUUAUUGUACACACUGAGCGCAACACAGCAAACUGAAGGCUGGUUCAGCACAAACCAGCUCAGGCAAAGGUAUCCAAAUCGGCAGGCAAAACAGAGUCCAAAAAGCAAACAAACUCUGAUCAUAGAGAGGGGAACUUGUGCGCUGUGACCAGGAAACAUGACAAACUGGCACAGAGGGAAGGAAACACCAAGCUUAAAUACACACAAGGGGAUAACAAGACACAGGUGAGACUCAUUAAGGUAAACAGGUGAGCGGGAAACACCGGGAAUAGGAAGUUAAGACACCUGAAGGGAUACAUUUCAAAAUAAAACAAGAAACACGAGACAUGAAUCAUGGAGACACAGCAGUUUAUAUACUUUACUAAGGUCCAAAAUCAAGACUCCUUUAAUCCACCAUAAAUGUAGUGGAGUCACACACACUUUUGUCAGGUAUAAACCUCGAGCAGAACCAGACAUAUGUAAGACAGCCAUCUGCAACCAAUGUGUUGAGAGACGGGUGGAUGGGGACAAACAUCAUUUUCAGGAGCAGCAAACUAAUUAAAAUAAACUGAUUGUCAUAUUUAUGGUUCUCAAAGUCAACAGUUCCAUAAAAGUCAGGACUAAUAAAACUAAUUAUGGUGGUUGAUGCCAAGCUGGAGACAGUUGGCAUGACGACGCUGAUAAUAACACUGAGGUUGGUAUAAGAUUAUUAUAAAACAGUUGGAGUCAGGCAGGUCCACAGUGGGAGGCCAUCUGUAGGAACACAGACGACAAGAGAGUGGGGUAACACUAAGAGCUGGUUCAAGCCUAAACCAGCCCGAACUAGCACCAUGAAAGCUUGAGUGAAUCGCACUGGUUAUCUCAUUACAGGAGUGCCAGUAAGUGGGCUGUUAAAGGUUGGCGUGUUAGAACCAGAAUUAAUAGGGAUGAGGGCACCAAACUGUGAUGUCUGGACUUCUUAGUCAAAGCUUUACUGGUCUGAAGAGGUCUGCACCCACCCAAAGUGCUCCAAGGGGGGGAAAAAAGUGACAGCAACAGGGAGCCAGGAAUGGUUGUGUGGUCUUAUACAACAGAUGAGCCACUGGAGCUGAAACGGCUGAAAAGGGAAAGUUGGCUCUGGUGGAAAGGUGUCAGAACACGUGAUGCCGAGAAGUUUGUGUGUACAGUGCUGCAGCAGCCAGGGUGUCCAUGCUGACCCCUGUCCACAGCCAGAAGAAACUCUAAUGAGCAUCAGAGCUGGACCUGGAGGAGCAUGGCAAAGACCUGAAGUUAAUGAAAGUCCUCAGGUCUUAAUCUAAUCAAUUAUCUGAUGAAUUUUCCACCUGUGCAGCCUUUCCUUUGAUUGAUUGUUUGUCUCUGUUUGGCAGAUUAAAGCUCCUGUGAGUUACUUUCUGUUUGUGUAAAUUCUGGCGCCCCCCUGUGGACAAAGCUAUCUUGUCCAUUAAUUUAAAGAAAUAGUAAUAAUGCUACAGUGCCCCCUCACAUCAAAGAUUAAUGGUCUUGUUUGCAUAUUUAGGUGAGAAGAUGUUUUACAAUCAAUAUUGGUACGUUCGAUAAUCACUUAAAACGUCCCCACAGGAGCUUUAAAGAGACUGAUUUUUCCAGAAGUAGACAAUAAUGAAUAGAUUUUGAUAUUUAUCAGUCAUCAAAACACCAGUUAUGUGUUUUUUUAAGUUUGCUAAGGAGUGGUUGAGGUUGGCCUGGCAAAUUCAGAGGAAAAAGGAACCUCGGUGCAGAUGGUGUUUGUAGGGGGGGCUGAAUCUGGUAGAGUUGGCAACGACACUUCCUUUUAACCACAAGCCUCCAAAAUUUACUCCUAAUAAAAUUCUGGGAGUUUUUUUCCAACUGACAAACAUGCUGAGAAGUUCUUGUGUGGCACCUCAGUGUAAUUGACCUAAAUAAAAUAAAGGUUUUGUUUGUGUAAAGCCGGGAAACACAAUAAAAUUUUGUUUAUUUGGUGUCAAAACAAAGUGGCUUCGACUGAAAGAGGAAGGAGAGGAAAUAAAGUUGUGAAAAGCCUUUGAAUUUUGCAAGGUCGUAUGAUUGACUCCACCCGAUGAUGCUCAUGCCAACGAAUCACAUCUGUCUCUGAAGGGUUUUUUCAAUUUUACCAUGAAUGCUGUUGUCACCAUCUCCUUCGUGUCAGGAGGAAAGAAGAGAUGCAACAUGUGCUUUUAAUAACUCCAUCUCUGCUGCUGCUGUUGCUGCGUCUACUUCCCUGCCCACUUGUGGUAUUACUCCACCUUGUUUUUUUUUCUCUCCGUCUGUCUUGCUGAGACUACGUGAGUCUGUUCACAUCACCAUCUCGAUUAUUCAUGCAUCGGGGAAAAAGUAGAAGCAAGGCAGGAGAGGGAGAAAGAGAGGAGGUUUUGAAGGAGGAGGGACUUAGAAAGGUGGACGUGACUUUCCUCACCUUCUCUUUCCUCCUUUUUUUCUCUCUCCUCCUCCUUAUCCCCUCUGUUCCCUCCAUCCCUGCUUCCUAAUUUCUUCGUCUGACCUCCUCCUCUCCCAUGUCUUCUCAUGUUGGCAUGUCUGCCGUCCAAGACUAUCCUAUUAGUCCGCUCUCUCUAACCCAUUAACUUGGCGAGGCAUUAGGAGGAGUCAGGACAUCGAUAUAAGAAGAAGUAAGCCUCUGUUGUCUAAUAAUGUCGGACACUCUUUUCUUCUUUGGAGAUUUAGCUUCUUUUCAAUCGAGUGUCUAAUCUCGUGUCUAUUUGGGCCUUAAGGUGAAUGAUCUCAGUGUGCUGACUGCCAAGACGACUGACACCGAAAUCUGUCUGCUUUAGGCGGUGAUCACCUCCUUAGAAACAGGUUUAAGGCUUCAGUAUUGACAAGCAGCGAAUAAGAGGUCACGGGACAUCUGUUGGCAUGUGCAUGUCAUUGUUUGGCAUGUGCAUGGCAACAUCAGCAGCCGUCUUUGUCCAGCCCUGAGGCGAUGGAGUAUACGCCAAGUCUUUGCACAAGUUCAGACUUGCAGUAAUAGACAGUGUGGAUAAAAGUAAUGACUACUGCUUUUAAUCUUCAAGUCUUUAAUAUCAACCCCUUCAUUUAAACUAGUCUCAAAUAUACGUGCCUAAAGCCUGCAAUGAGACCUUCCUCCCCCUUGUUGCACCCAGUCAACUUUUCCAAAAUUAGCUGUUUUUCAUUCGAAAUUCUCUGGAGGGGACAUCCUCAGCUUCCUGCAGCGUCAACCACAAAUAUUCUGGUUUCAAUCCAGACAGAGUGAAGUCACGUUUUUUCAGACGACUCCAAAGCCAUCAGAAAACUUCCUGUUGUUUCCGAUCUCCUCUGCGCACUCCUAUUUAAAAAUCAAAAAAUGAUUUAAUAAAAAGAACUAAAUGGAAAAAAAACAACAAAAGAGAAAAAUACACAAAAAUCACAGGGAGCAACAGGAGACACAAGCAUACACACCAACAUACAUACAAUGAACCAACAAGGUCCGAGGGGAAGACAGGGACUAUAUGCACACUGGGAAACGAGCAACAGGUGAGACAGACGAGACACAGGUGAAACUCAU
Non-coding RNA from Xyrichtys novacula (pearly razorfish), 7357 nucleotides. The record is from the annotation of a GenBank genome assembly. Lineage: Eukaryota; Metazoa; Chordata; Actinopteri; Labriformes; Labridae.